UGUUAAAAAAAGUUCCGACCUUUUGGUCGGAACGUGAAGUGGGAAGUUUUUAUAAAACUUCACCCACGAAAGUUUGCCCUGAGCCUCUCUUCGCAGCAGGCCGCCAUCAACCAGAGCCCUCUCGCUGAGCCAUCCCUCUCCUCUGUUGUUCGCUGCACUCAGCCUCCUCUUCUUCCGUCCUCGUUACCCUUCCAGCAUCCCUCUUCACAGAGCCUCCUCACUUGCUUCUCCUCUCUUUCUCUCUCUUUCCAUUUCUAGAAAAUGGCUUUCUUUCUCAUCUCUCUCUGCAGAACUACUUCAUUCUCUCUCCAUCUAGCUGUGUAGCCCUAAAUCUCUUUCUCUAUCUAUCACCAACCUCCCAUCCGUCAUUGACAUCAGAGCUCCAGCAGCAUAUGCACAUGGUUUCUCAUUGUUGCUCAAGGUGUAGGUUAGAUGAAGGUUCUGCAAAACCAACAUUCUCCAGUCAAGAUGCAGUGACAGCAAACGAAUUGAUAAAAGAGCUUAUUGAUUGGAAAAUUAUUCAUGAUGAAAAUGGAAUGGCACUUGCCAAGGUAUUGAGGCAAUUCACAAGUACUUAUUCAAAUUUCAUAUUUGAAUAAGAUAGCAGAUUUUCACUGGUGAAUAGGGCACCAAAUAAAUCAAUAGUACACAAAGAAGCUAUCGGUGUCACCUCUAGUGGUGUGAAACCCAUCUUCCCAGCAGUUGCAGCCAUGGCAUCAUCAUCCUUCUUCUCUUUCUCUCGAAUUCCAGCCUGUCUUUCUCGCACUACCCUAAAAAGGCGUUCUCUCUCUUCUCGUUGCUCUCCUUUCGUCCAACCUCCUGAUGUGGCUUAGUUAGCAGAGAGUGCUCGAAUUUCACUUACCGCAAAUGAGAUUGAAGAGUUUGGUCCCAAAAUCAAACAAGUCAUAGACUGGUUUGGACAACUUCAAGCUGUUAAUCUUGAAAGCAUUGAACCUGCACUUCGAGCCAGUUCUGUCCUAACUUUUGAAUGAAUUUGAUACUGAUGCAUUUAAAAGAAAAUUAUGUCGAUCAAAUUCAGAGCAUGGAGUUCAGCUGUUCCUAUAAAAUUCCCUUGUUUUUACAUGCAGACAAGUAUGGAAUCUAAUCUUUUCAUACUGGAAGCAGCAUCUAGUAAUAAUUGAAGAUACCAGAUAUGGUUCUGGAUAUGAAGCAUGGGGAUAUGAGUUUGUAUUUGUCAAAAUCAGGGACACUGAUACUAGUGUCCUGUCAUGUACGUCUAUAAAUAUAAUCUUGUGUAUUACAUAAAGAUAUGCAUCCAGCACAUCAAUACACAUACCAUAUAUUAGUGCAUACUUUGCAUUUGGUCAUAAUAUUUUUUUAGAAAUAUCUCAUUUUAUAUUUACUCGUGUCCUAGCAGAAUCCUGUAUCAGUAUUGAUGAUAACAUGAUACGAAACCUGCAUAUUAAACAUGUACAUGUCUCCCAGCAUCGCAAGUAAUAAGUAUGGUAAGAAGAAAGCCAUGACUUUGGUUUGGUAGGUGUAAGAUGCGCAUUUCGUGUUGAAAUCUGCAACUGACAUGUCCUUGGAAGUGUUAAGACACUUAAUUAAAAGUACACAAAGUUUUUGGAUGUUUGAGUGGAGUGGUAAUUCUUGGGCAUGAUCAAACUCCUGAUGCAUUUUGGACAUCAACAAUCUCUUUGAUGCCUGAUUAAGAUUGGGUUUUAUGCCUUUGUAUGAGUGAAAUUUGUUUUCUGGACUCAAUUGGAACAUCUGUUUAGACAGUAUAUUUUGUCUCUAUCCCACAUAUGGAGCUUUGCCUCCAUCUCACAUAUGGAGCCUGAUAACUCCUAGUUGUUCGAAACUUAGAUUGCCAUAAUGAUUUCAGCAUGUGGUCCACUAUCUCUUUGUCCCAUGCAUUGUUGUAGAUGCUACAUGUUAUUCAAGACUAUAUGAUCUGUUUUGGUUGAAGUAUUCGUAGAUAUUAAUAUAUUAUUGCCACAGAUAGGUGCACAUAGAAGUGGAUAUUUGGUUUGACUUAAAUGAACACUAUUUUGCAUAUGAGGCGCAGUUACUUUCAUUUUCCUCAUUAUGGAUAACUUGUUGAAACCUUUAUGCACUUGUGUGCGACCUAACCUGGCAUCUCAUGUUGCACAGAUCUUAAACUUAUUAAAUCUAUGCUUUGAGAAGGCCUUAUCUGAUUGUUAUCUGCCUUAUACCUAACUUGGUGAUCGUAGUUUGUUAUAGUUGUAGCAAUGCUGAUGUAGGCUUGAUUGUGUCUUUGGGCUUCCCUUGUAUCUUGUAGUAUGCCUCCUGCCAUUUCCAAAUGUUGAGGCGAAUUCUGCUCUAUGAGGCUCCCUGCUUUUGAGAGUAUGCUUCCUGCCAUUUCCAAAUUUUGAGAUAGAUUUUGCGCUAUGAGGCUCCCUGCUUUUAAGAGUAUGCGUCCUGCCAUUUCCAAAUGUUGAGAUAGAUUUUGCACUAUGAGGCUCCCUGCUUUUGAGAUUAUCAUGUUAGUCGCUUGUUUAACAUCCAGUUCUGUUUUCAACAACGUGAGAGUUGCAUAGUUUGCUAAUUCAGUAGUUUCUUAAUACCAGUUAAAGGCCUAGUGAAUGAUUGGUCAUGUGGGGUUGUAGGGUCAUUCUGUUACAUGGUUCAGUCUUUCGGUUGGUUGGCAUCAAGUGUGUGACUAAAUGAUUCAGAAUCCUAUUUGCCCAAGUGAAAUCAAAUAGCACUGGCUAAUAUAUAAUAUUGCAGUUCUGUAAACCCGAGGGUUAUGUGCAUGGGUAAUCUUUAACCCUAUUUUCUUUCUAGAAAUAAAUUUGACACAAGGAGGGAGGGACAGAGAGAGGGAUGCUAAACUCGAUAUCUAUUACCGGAGGAAGUGAGAAUACACGAGCAGAUGAACCUGAAAUUUUUGGAAACAGAGAGGCCAUGAUAGCAGCAGUUCCAAGCUACAGCGAGCCAUUUAUCAAGUUCCCAAAGCCUUGAACAAGGAAUAAUUUUUUAAAGGGUGCUCUCACCCCAAAAAUCUUAGGGCUUCAUGUAGACCUGUCAUUCUUUUGCUGAUCUCCUAAGAAAUUUUACAUUACCUGCAAAAUUGCCAAAGAACUUGUACAUUGACGGAUUGAUGAAAAUUCAUUUCAUCCAUGGGUACCUGAUGCAGGACUUUUUUCAUAUGAACAACACAAAAUAUGAUUAAAGUGACUUAGAAACCCAUCUUAAUGUCAUUAAACUUGAAAGGGCUAUGAAUCA
Non-coding RNA from Amborella trichopoda, 3210 nucleotides. Lineage: Eukaryota; Viridiplantae; Streptophyta; Magnoliopsida; Amborellales; Amborellaceae. The record is from RefSeq and is a predicted model, not a curated record.